RNAcentral lists this ribosomal RNA (468 nucleotides) under uncultured bacterium. RNAcentral describes it as "partial 16S ribosomal RNA". It matches the Rfam family "Bacterial small subunit ribosomal RNA", at positions 28 to 507 of the family's 1533-position model. The record is from RNAcentral.
GAUGAACGCUGGCGGCGUGCUUAACACAUGCAAGUCGAACGGAAAGGCCCAAGCUUGCUUGGGUACUCGAGUGGCGAACGGGUGAGUAACACGUGGGUGAUCUGCCCUGCACUUCGGGAUAAGCCUGGGAAACUGGGUCUAAUACCGGAUAGGACGAUGUUUUGGAUGCCAUUGUGGAAAGUUUUUUCGGUGUGGGAUGAGCUCGCGGCCUAUCAGCGUGUUGGUGGGGUAAUGGCCUACCAAGGCGUCGACGGGUAGCCGGCCUGAGAGGGUGUACGGCGACAUUGGGACUGAGAUACGGCGCAGACUCCUACGGGGGGCAGAAGUGGGGAAUAUUGCACAAUGGGCGCAAGCCUGAUGCAGCGACGCCGCGUGGGGGAUGACGGCCUUCGGGUUGUAAACUCCUUUCGCUAGGGACGAAGCGUUUUUGUGACGGUACCUGGAGAAGAAGCACCGGCUAACUACGUG